CCCCGGGUGACCUUGCCUAGGUGUGGGCCGUGACCCACGUGACCUCUCCCAGGUGUGCCACAGGUGUGCCGGGUCCCACGUGACCUACCCUCGGCUGUGUCACGUGUCUGCCUCACGUGUCGCCGGUGUCCUCAGGUGUGUCCGCGUGUGACCCCAGGUGUGCCCAGGUGCGCUCACCUGUCCCAGGUGU
Molecule: long non-coding RNA, 190 nt
Filed under: Junco hyemalis (dark-eyed junco)
Lineage: Eukaryota; Metazoa; Chordata; Aves; Passeriformes; Passerellidae
Description: lncRNA (ENSJHYG00000010908.1)
Source: RNAcentral